CCUACGGGUGGCAGCAGUGGGGCAUAUUGCGCAAUGGGCGAAAGCCUGACGCAGCGACGCCGCGUGAGGGAUGAAGGUCUUCGGAUCGUAAACCUCUUUCAGCAGGGAAGAACGGUCACUGUGCUAAUCAGCAGUGAAUUGACGGUACCUGCAAAGGAAGCCCCGGCUAACUCCGUGCCAGCAGCCGCGGUAAUACGGAGGGUGCGUGCGUUAAUCGGAGUUACUGGGCGUAAAGCGCUCGUAGGCGGUAUGUCAAGUCAAGGGGGAAAUCCCCGCGCUCAACGUGGGAACUGCCUUUGAAACUGGCAAACUGGAGUGUGUGAGAGGAUAGUGGAAUUCCAGGUGUAGGAGUGAAAUCCGUAGAUAUCUGGAGGAACAUCAGUGGCGAAGGCGACUAUCUGGCACAUAACUGACGCUGAGGAGCGAAAGCGUGGGUAGCAAACAGGAUUAGAUACCCCUGGUAGUC
RNAcentral lists this ribosomal RNA (466 nucleotides) under uncultured bacterium. Its description in RNAcentral is "partial 16S ribosomal RNA". It matches the Rfam family "Bacterial small subunit ribosomal RNA", at positions 338 to 795 of the family's 1533-position model. The record is from RNAcentral.